RNAcentral lists this microRNA precursor (63 nucleotides) under Dasypus novemcinctus (nine-banded armadillo). RNAcentral describes it as "microRNA dno-mir-30d precursor". Its record names the gene dno-mir-30d. It matches the Rfam family "mir-30 microRNA precursor family", at positions 9 to 69 of the family's 77-position model. Rfam says of the family: This family consists of the mammalian microRNA (miRNA) precursor mir-30a. The record is from miRBase by way of RNAcentral. Lineage: Eukaryota; Metazoa; Chordata; Mammalia; Cingulata; Dasypodidae.
UGUAAACAUCCCCGACUGGAAGCUGUAAAGAUACAACUAAGCUUUCAGUCAGAUGUUUGCUGC